Molecule: ribosomal RNA, 406 nt
Filed under: uncultured bacterium
Lineage: Bacteria
Description: partial 16S ribosomal RNA
Rfam family: Bacterial small subunit ribosomal RNA
Source: RNAcentral
AUUGAACGCUGGCGGCAUGCCUAACACAUGCAAGUCGAACGAGUGGCGGACGGGUGAGUAAUGUCUGGGAAACUGCCUGAUGGCGGGGGAUAACUACUGGAAACGGUAGCUAAUACCGCAUACCAUCGGAUGUGCCCAUAUGGGAUUAGCUAGUUGGUGGGGUAACGGCUCACCAAGGCCACGAUCCCUAGCUGGUUGGAGAGGAUGACCAGCCACAAUGGAACUGAGACACGGUCCAGACUCCUACGGGAGGCAGCAGUGGGGAAUAUUGGACAAUGGGGGCAAGCCUGAUGCAGCCAUCCCGCGUGUAUGAAGAAGGCCUUCGGGUUGUAAAGUACUUUCAGCGGGGAAGCGUUAUCCGCAGAAGAAGCACCGGCUAACUCCGUGCCAGCAGCCGCGGUAAUAC